Molecule: long non-coding RNA, 588 nt
Organism: Vespa mandarinia (Asian giant hornet)
Lineage: Eukaryota; Metazoa; Arthropoda; Insecta; Hymenoptera; Vespidae
Source: RefSeq, a predicted model, not a curated record
CCACUGUAACAAUUACAGUAAAAACAAUGAUUAUUUUUUAUCUAAAACACAAGUUGAUGAACAGAAGUAUUUUAUAUGGAAAAAUGGCAAUCCAAAAUUAAAUAAACUUGGAUUGAACAGGGAAAAGGAAGAGAACAUACUCUGUGGCAGCUGUUGUGUGUGGCUGAGAGGACCCAGAGGCAGCUUCAUCGAGUAGCUACAAUUGAACAAAAGAAAAAACACAAACAAUAAGAUACUGUGCAAGUGAUUACUACUAUUAUUACAUAUGGCGCACGUGAUAAUGGUAUAAGCCAAUGAGAAAGAACAGAUAUGCAAUUAAGAAUUGUACUUACAUCGCGAGAAAGAGCGGCUAAUGAGGAGGACGUAGCAACGAGUCCAAUAUCACGUGGAUCCAAUCCUAAAGCUGCUCCUAAUUUCAAUGAGUAGAUGCCUGUCAGUCGACGUAACGAUUGUAGUUUUAAUCGAAGUUCUUGUAGUCGAGCUCUCACUCCUCCCUGUUCAUUUAGUAGUUGAUUGGCAGAUUCUUGGAGAGAUAAAACACGCGGUUCACAGCGCUCAAGGUCACUUCGUAAUUCCCUUAAAAAAUAU